Non-coding RNA from Macaca mulatta (Rhesus monkey), 1938 nucleotides. The record is from RefSeq and is a predicted model, not a curated record. NCBI's taxonomy places the organism in Eukaryota, Metazoa, Chordata, Mammalia, Primates, Cercopithecidae.
AGGAGAGCUUAUCCGAAGGGGAAAUUUCCAGCAAAGCUGGAUAGCCUAAGCGAAAUCCACUCUUGCCCCCCGAUCCUUAAUCUGCCCCCAAAAAUCUUCAUUUCAUUUCAUAACACUCUGAAAUCCCACCAGUUACAGACUUACUGGUAUCCCUUUUAAAAAAUGUAAAAUAUAUGAAAGUUAAAGAGAUUAUUUACUAUUGGGACUUUGUAUAAAUUAAUUUAAUAGGACUACUUUCCUCAUAGAUUAGCUGAGAUCAACAGCACUACUGGAACUGGAAAUGCAGAUUAAAGGAUCACUGAAGCAAGCACCGGUUACGUAUGGAAUACUUGGGAGUAAGUAGCUAACGUGGAAACCUGGUGAUACCAUGGUAGCACACUGUAGCAGGAAGACCAUGGGCUCCUGAACACUCCUGGAUUUUAAUCUGGUUCCACCACUUUUCCGGUGACCUUGGGCAAGUAACUUAACCUCUUCACAUCUCAAUUUGCUCUACUAUCAAAUAAGAUAAUAUCUCCCCACAAGGUUGUUAUGUAAGAUAGAAUAACACAAGUGCCUUGCAUAUAACAGACUCAAAAAAAAAAAAAACAAAAAAAAAAAGUCAGUUUACCUCUUUUCCAUGUUCAUUACUGAGGCAAGAACAAAAGGCACCAAGGAAGAGAAAGGAGUGGACUGUGUAGAAAAGAAGGAUGCCAAAGAGAAACUCCUGAAAAUUCCUCCUUGAAAACCGGGUUCAAUCAAGAGAAGGGACAGGGUCUUGCUGUACUGCCCAGCCUGGACUGCAAUGCCACAGUCAUGGUUUAUGGUAGCCUCGAACUGCUGGGCUCAAGUGAUCCUUCCACCACCAUCUUCCAAGUAGCUGGUACUAUAGGUAUAUGCUAAUUUUUUAGUUUUUUUGUAAAGACAGGGCCUUGUUAUAUUGCCCAGGCUAGUCUUGAACUCCUGACCUCAACCGAUCCUUCCACCUCAGCCUCCCAAAGUGCUAGGAUUACAAGCAUGAGCCAUUGCACUUGGCUUCUUCUUACUUUUUAAUGCAGUUAAAAAUUACAUACAUGUAUUACAUCUGUAGCCCACAUUAUAAUUCAAUUGAAGAGCGCUGAGACAUAAUAUUGACAUACUAUUUCCAUCAUAGAAACUCAGAACAUUUUUAUUAUUUAGAAACAUGCUAUUUUAUACAUACACUGUUAUCUAUACCUCCAAAGAUAGUAAGUACGUACUCAUAAGAAGCUAUAUGUACAAGUUUUCUUAUUAAUUUGCUUGCUACUUAGUCAUUUAUUUUAUCUCUUACUGCUUGCUAAGGGACAAGUGGUAGCAGUCUCUAAAGGUUUAAAAAUAAUUAUGUAAAAACACCAGUAUGCUCUGGCCUGUUAGUCUGACAAACAACGAACUGAUGUCUAAAAUAAAGAACACAUUGUAAGAUAUACCAUGUGUAGUAGACUUCUGUCAUUUUGUUGGCUCCAAGCAUAUCAAGCCCCUGCUUGUGUUUGAAGAAUUCCUAACUUCAUAAAUUUUGGUGCAAAACAGAGCCUAUUUUCCACUAUUAAAAAUGAAAAUGUAGAUGGUUUUCCACAUGCCCUGCUGGCAGCCUAUGCUUACCCAUAGAGAUGUGCCCACCAGCAAUUUUGAAUGUGGAGCCUAGUAACAAAGAGCAGAGACAAUAAAGAAUUCUUUCUGAUGACAGCAAUAGUGAAAGCAGUAUCUAGUUUCUGAAGGCAGCAGAACCAGUAGUGGACUGGAGUGACCAGCACACCCAGAAGUGCAAUCAGCAGCAUCCAGUCAUUAUUCAGCAGACACAGCCGUAAUGGUCGCGUUGGCAUGAGUUUUGCCAUGGUGCUAGUUGUUUAGCCUCCCCUUUGUUCAUGUACUUUUUCUAGGUUCAAGCCCUCUACCAACUCUGUAAACCACUCAAUAUCCUAUCAGUAAAGUUUAUUUCUGCUUAAA